UGGUUUUAUGCUGAAGCGCACUUUCUGCUACCUGGGCAUGUCAAUAACAAAAAUAUCGUUUACAGGGGCACAUCGGGUAGUCUUGCAGAGAAUGUCACACCCAGUGCGCGGCAUGUGUAGCCAUUUGCGUACGAAAUGUUCCGGACGAAUAAGGAAACGAAUAUCAAACGGUCACAAAGACUUGAAUACAAAACUUGCCUCCGACCAGUCCACAUUCUUCUUUGGUGUCAAACCACAUUUGUCAUGAAUGAACGAGGUUGAUUGACUAUGGGCAUCUAUAGCCAUGCACAGUUAUAUACACUAAUACAAAUAGGCUGCAUUUCAACUUAAUUAUUUUGCAGUUUAUACAACCUUCCGCCAGCAACACUUCCAGGAUCAUAUCGGCUGAUGUGAGUCAUUCCAUAUAGAUAUCCGACGGGAUAGGAAAUGACGUUUCCAAUAAUACUUCAUGAUUUCUUAGCUUUGUUUACAAUCCUCCCCCAUGUACUCGUAUAUAUCUGCACAUUUUCAAUGUGUACUUCACAGUUGUAAAGUUUCAGGUUCUUUGGAGAAUAAAAGGGGCUAAAUAUAAUUCAGUAUUAAAAUGAAAUUUAUUCCGAAAUUAGCGCCUCUUGAAA
Molecule: non-coding RNA, 617 nt
Organism: Styela clava
Lineage: Eukaryota; Metazoa; Chordata; Ascidiacea; Stolidobranchia; Styelidae
Source: RefSeq, a predicted model, not a curated record